CCUACGGGAGGCAGCAGUGAGGAAUAUUGGUCAAUGGACGAAAGUCUGAACCAGCCAAGUAGCGUGAAGGAUGACUGCCCUAUGGGUUGUAAACUUCUUUUAUAAAGGAAUAAAACGAGGCACGUGUGCCUUUUUGCAUGUACUUUAUGAAUAAGGAUCGGCUAACUCCGUGCCAGCAGCCGCGGUAAUACGGAGGAUCCGAGCGUUAUCCGGAUUUAUUGGGUUUAAAGGGAGCGUAGAUGGGUUUUUAAGUCAGUUGUGAAAGUUUGCGGCUCAACCGUAAAAGUGCAAUUGAUACUGGCAGCCUUGAGUACAGUUGAGGUAGGCGGAAUUCGUGGUGUAGCGGUGAAAUGCUUAGAUAUCACGAAGAACCCCGAUUGCAAAGGCAGCUUACUAAACUGUGACUGACAUUGAUGCUCGAAAGUGUGGGUAUCAAACAGGAUUAGAUACCCGAGUAGUC
This 460-nucleotide ribosomal RNA is filed under the name uncultured bacterium. RNAcentral's name for it is "partial 16S ribosomal RNA". It matches the Rfam family "Bacterial small subunit ribosomal RNA", at positions 338 to 795 of the family's 1533-position model. The record is from RNAcentral.